Molecule: transfer RNA, 85 nt
Filed under: Felis catus (domestic cat)
Lineage: Eukaryota; Metazoa; Chordata; Mammalia; Carnivora; Felidae
Also listed under: 2 other names
Rfam family: tRNA
About the family: Transfer RNA (tRNA) molecules are approximately 80 nucleotides in length. Their secondary structure includes four short double-helical elements and three loops (D, anti-codon, and T loops).
Source: Rfam by way of RNAcentral
GCCUGGGUGGCUCAGUGGGUUGAGCGUCCUACUUCAGCCCAGCUCAUGAUCUUGCAGUUUGUGAGUUCAAGCCCCACCUUGGGCU